This 494-nucleotide ribosomal RNA is filed under the name uncultured fungus. RNAcentral's name for it is "eukaryotic LSU rRNA". The stretch from base 143 to 296 matches the Rfam family "5.8S ribosomal RNA". The record is from RNAcentral. Lineage: Eukaryota; Fungi.
GGCUUCGGCCUGGUUAUUCAUACCCUUUGUUGUCCGACUCUGUUGCCUCCGGGGCGACCCUGCCUUCGGGCGGGGGCUCCGGGUGGACACUUCAAACUCUUGCGUAACUUUGCAGUCUGAGUAAACUUAAUUAAUAAAUUAAAACUUUUAACAACGGAUCUCUUGGUUCUGGCAUCGAUGAAGAACGCAGCGAAAUGCGAUAAGUAAUGUGAAUUGCAGAAUUCAGUGAAUCAUCGAAUCUUUGAACGCACAUUGCGCCCCCUGGUAUUCCGGGGGGCAUGCCUGUUCGAGCGUCAUUUCACCACUCAAGCCUCGCUUGGUAUUGGGCAACGCGGUCCGCCGCGUGCCUCAAAUCGUCCGGCUGGGUCUUCUGUCCCCUAAGCGUUGUGGAAACUAUUCGCUAAAGGGUGUUCGGGAGGCUACGCCGUAAAACAACCCCAUUUCUAAGGUUGACCUCGGAUCAGGUAGGGAUACCCGCUGAACUUAAGCAUAUC